UCUUUUCAUUCUCAAGAUGGCAGCCUCCAAGUCAAAAGUCCUUUGCAUCAGGUUGUCCAUGAGGGCAUGUAUCUCCUGCUGAAAUAUCUACAGCUUCUCCCUCAAAGACACCUCCUCUUCAAAGGCUGCCUCUUCCCUGUUCUCGACUCUUAGAUCUCUGUAGGUCAUUUUUCAAUUAUCUGAGAUUGAUUAAGAUAAUUGAAUUUGAUUUAAAU
RNAcentral lists this long non-coding RNA (215 nucleotides) under Theobroma cacao (cacao). RNAcentral describes it as "long non-coding RNA (TCAC_LNC001292)". The record is from RNAcentral. Lineage: Eukaryota; Viridiplantae; Streptophyta; Magnoliopsida; Malvales; Malvaceae.